This is a long non-coding RNA of Magallana angulata, 2845 nucleotides long. RefSeq lists it as uncharacterized. NCBI's taxonomy places the organism in Eukaryota, Metazoa, Mollusca, Bivalvia, Ostreida, Ostreidae. The record is from RefSeq and is a predicted model, not a curated record. The transcript is spliced from 3 exons.
AAAUACAUGUAAACCAUAAUUAAAAGGUAAAACUUUUUCAAAAUUUAUCGAAUAGGAUCGCAUCUGUUCUAGUGGCGGAUGAUGUAGCGCACACAUUCAAAAAGUCACAUUAAGUUCAAUGGGACGACGAUUGCGUGUUCCAUCUUUUUAGCAGAUACACUUUUACCACUUAUUGUCAUAUCUAACUAUUGAGAUCUUUAUUCAACAAACAAUCGAUAGAAUAUCAAUAUUUUAAACUACUUCGAAUCGAAAUAAAGCUUCUUUCAACGAGACAAAAAAAUAGCAAAACAUUUCAUUAUUAUAAUAUAGCUUCUCGCAUUUAGUCCGAGUUAUUUCUUGUUUCUUAUGUGACCUUUUCUCUGAAGCAUAGACGGACGUUCUAUAUUGUUACUGCUGGAGACUGUUUUUAUUAAGGCUAGAACAGACAAGUUACGAUUAAAUCAUAUCUGUAAAUCGAUAUUAUCUACCGGUUACAACUGAUUUAAAUAAUAACUAAUAAUUAUAAUUGUCAACGUUGCAGUCUACUUUUUUCUAUUUUGCAAUAAUAUCAAAAUGAACUUCAUAUUUUAGAACUUUAUUAAAACAUGCAGCUAUCACUGUGAUUGCUAUGUCAAAUUUUAAAAUACACCUAGGACAUAUCAAACGAUAUCUAAGAACAACUGUGUUGGAUGAAUGAAAAAACCCGUACGUAUGCAACCGUCUUCCUAUUUCACAUAUUUCUGUUUAAUUCAUUUACUGCUCAAGUACAAGUUUAGGGAAUGCUAUUGACAAUUGUGUCCGACAUUAUUAAACAUGUUUUUUCGUACAUGUAUAAACAUUUAUUAAAUUAAUAAUAGAGAUUGUAUAAUAACUGCUAUGUUUCACGUAUCCAUCAUGUUCUGGCUUAUUGAGAUAGAGAUAUAUGUUUAUAACAAAUUAGUCAUAUCAUCAGACUUUAAGCGUGUUUGAACUUCGAUUCUCUGUGCAAAGUCCGAUACUUGGUGUUACUUGCUGAUCGAGCGCGGCUUCCAUCUGUGGAAUUCUUCUUUUCAAAUUGAACAGCACGUUUGAAAACACGAUUAACGGAAAAACCACAGACAUGCAUUCAUCUGACCGAUAAAUUGCUAUGACACCCAAGGGAUCUCUGAACAUAGCGGUCAGUGCCAGCACCGACAUUGCUGGCCAUAAAUUGUGUUUAAUUCCUACACGUCACUUUGAAAUCCCCGACUAUGAGACAAGGAGAUAAAACGCGACGGCAAAUUUAUGAAGACUCCUUUUGCAUUGUUUUGUCAGCUUUAUUUUUGGCGGAAUUGAUAUCGGUCCCCCAUGAUCAAGAGCAUCAACUGUAAUGUCGAUUCAUCUUUUUAUCGGUAUACAAUUGCGCCAUAUCCAGAAUAAAACAAAAUGACGAACUUUGCUGGAAUAUUCGGGGUAUACGCUCGGACUUUCUUUGGUUCAACUUUAGGAAACCCUAGCUGCACAAAUGUGGUAUAUGUUAAUGCCUCAAAAUGCGGUCAGCCGAUUCGCAUGGAAUAAUCUUUAUAACAAGAUCAUGGCAUGUUUGUACACAUAAAUGAAACUGAAGACUAAAGUCCAAAACCUAAUACACUGAGAAAGCGGACAGAAAAUGAUACUCAAGUUCAUAAUAAGCAUAACUACUUCAAUUAAUAAUAAAAAAUAUAUAUGUCUAUCAUUCUAGAAUGUUUUCUUUAUUAAAAUGGUUUCAUUGAAUUGUUUUAGUUUUCCAGUGGAAUUUUUCUUAUCAGGUCUCAUUUGUUUGCAACUUUAUCUUCAUUUACUAAAUGAUAUUUUGAUUUUGAUUGUGAAAUUGUUACAUAAAAUCGUCAACGUACAUGUAGUUUAACUGAUGUUAUGAAUAUUCAUUUUAUUUAGUCAAUAAUACAUUUCUUGUAUUGUUUAAACUAUGUGUCGAGAGUUGAGAGUGAAUAUACCCAAAAAAUAUAAAAGAUGUACAUGGAUGCGUUUUGUAUACAUUAAAGUUAAAAAUUACGAUGUCUUGCAUUGGGGUAAAUUUACCCCAUAAAACUGCAAAACAAUCAUGAUCGGUAUAUAGUUUAUAAGGUUUAAACUUUGUAAAAAUGACGUCUUGUGUUGGGGGGUAAAUUAAUCCCCCAACAAUGCAACACAGUUAUUUUUUGUUUAUUUCGAAGACUUCGAUUUGUAAAAACGUCGUCUUGUGUUGGGGGAUUUUUACCCCCCCCCCCCCCCCAAAAAAAAAAGAAAAAAGAAUUGCAACACAGUCAUUUUCUGUAUUUUUUUUGGGGGGGGGACUUCGACUCUGUAAAGAUGGCAUCUUGUGUUGGGGUAAAUUUACCCCCAACGAAUUGCAACAUAGCCAUUUUUUGUUUAUUUUUAAGGCUUUGGCUUUUUAAAUAUGCCAUCUUGUGUUGAAGGAAAUUUACCCCCAAAAGAAUUGCAACACAGUCAUUUUCCGUAUUUUUUUGGCUUCGAAUCUGUAAAGAUGGCAUCUUGUGUUGGGAGAAAAUUUACCUCCAUUGAAUUGCAGCAGAGUAAUUUUUUUGUUUAUUUCUAUGGCUUUGACUUUGUAAAGAUGUCAUUUUGUGUUUGGAGGAAAUUUACCCCCAAAGAAUUGAAACACAGACAUUUUUUGUUUCUUAUUAGGUCUUUGACUUUGUAAUGCUGUCAUUUUAUUUUGGAGAAAAUUUACCCCCAAAUAUUGCAACACACGCAGUCAUAUUAUGUUUAAUUAUAUAGCUUUGACUCUGUAAAGAUGUCAUCUUGCGUUGGAGGAAAUUUACCCCAAAGAAUAGCAGCACAUCUUAUUUCUGUAUAUUUUUAUGGCUUCGACUCUGUAAAGAUGUCAUCUUGUGUUGGAGGAAAUUUA